UGUUUGUUCAUGUGUGUGUGUGUGGUGCGGGUCAGGCGUUGGCCCAGGCUAUAAAGGAGGCCAAAGAGCAGCACCCUGACAUGUCAGUGACCCGCGUGGUGGUGCACAAAGAGACGGAGCUGGCCGAGGAGGACGACUGAAGCGCAGAGCUGAAGUCGGGCUGGUCAGAGCGGGUCGCCGGUGGAGGAGGAACAUCUGCAUCUUCUAUCAUUCACAACCAGAACCACUUAGCUAACAUUUGUAGCAUUUUAUUUUUUUAGUGUUUGUUUUAUCUCUAUUUUACCCCCCCUCCCCUCUCAAAAGAUCGUCUUGACCAUUUAUGAAGACCAGAUUUAUGUUAUUUUUAUUGUCGAUUAGUAAUUCACAUUCCUAGUUCACGGGUUUGGAGAGGAGGAGUCCUGUUGGGGCGUAAUAUUAAUUAAUAAUAAGAGGAGCGUGAGCAUAUGAAGGUGACAUGAACCAUUACUGUAGGGGGCGGGGCUGAUGAUGGGGGCGGGACUACAGUGUAAUUGUCAAUUGGUUUUAUAAUGUCAUAAUGGGAAGGGAUAGCACAGGAUGAUUGUGAUUGGUGGACAGCGCUGUCAAUCAUUCCUCUAUGCAGACCAACAUUCCACUGAGAGGAUGAAGAAGAACCUCUUGUACCUCUCUGAGAACCAGGUGAAACCUUACACACACACAAAACAAAAACAAGAAACCUAGGCAGCUCUAUGGAAAGUUUUGAUUUCCAGCCAUUUUUCUGGCACCAACAUUCAGAUAUGUAUUUGUAGAUCAUCUUUUUUUUUUUUAAUCUGCUGAUUUGGUGGAGAUCCCGAGUGUUUUAAAUCUUUUUAGCGAAAUUUUUUGAUGAACAAAUGAACUGCCAGCGCUGAUGUUUGUAGGCCUGUGCUCCGUCUCUUUCUGUCCGCUCCUCAUCCCACCCGCUGUAUAGCAGUUAAACCGUAGCAUUGACUCUCUUUCCUUUUUUUAAGCAGCUUUGGAUGAUCUGUCAUGUUUUUAUGCCCCACCCAUUGUGUAACACUUCAAAUAAAAGUUUGUUUAUUCUCUAA
Non-coding RNA from Danio rerio (zebrafish), 1046 nucleotides. The record is from RefSeq and is a predicted model, not a curated record. NCBI's taxonomy places the organism in Eukaryota, Metazoa, Chordata, Actinopteri, Cypriniformes, Danionidae.